GCCGGGCACGGUGGUGCGUGCCUUUAGUCCCAGCUACUUGGGAGGCUGAGGCUGGAGGAUCACUUGAGUCCAGGAGUUCUGGGCUAUAGUGCGCUAUGCUGAUAGGGUGUCUGCACUAAGUUCGGCAUCAAUAUGGUAAAAUCCCGGGAGCUGAGGACCACUAGGUUGCCUAAGGAGGGGUGAACCAGCCCAGGUCUGAAACGGAGCAGAUCAAAAGUCCUGUGCUGACCAGUAGUGGGAUCACGCCUGUGAACAACCACUGCGCUCACACAUCAGGCUACUUUUUUACUUUCU
Molecule: signal recognition particle RNA, 294 nt
Filed under: Aotus nancymaae (Ma's night monkey)
Lineage: Eukaryota; Metazoa; Chordata; Mammalia; Primates; Aotidae
Description: Metazoan signal recognition particle RNA (ENSANAG00000004191.1)
Rfam family: Metazoan signal recognition particle RNA
About the family: The signal recognition particle (SRP) is a universally conserved ribonucleoprotein. It is involved in the co-translational targeting of proteins to membranes. The eukaryotic SRP consists of a 300-nucleotide 7S RNA and six proteins: SRPs 72, 68, 54, 19, 14, and 9.
Source: Rfam by way of RNAcentral